Molecule: small RNA, 80 nt
Filed under: Psychroflexus halocasei
Lineage: Bacteria; Pseudomonadati; Bacteroidota; Flavobacteriia; Flavobacteriales; Flavobacteriaceae
Description: Psychroflexus sp. WS 4520 Flavo-1 RNA
Rfam family: Flavo-1 RNA
Source: Rfam by way of RNAcentral
UUUGCGCUAGGGAUUGAAGUGGCAUCCUUUUUUUGUUUUUUUCAUAACAAAAAAAGAUAUAGCGUAAAGCCCGCUCGAGC